This is a non-coding RNA of Pelobates cultripes (western spadefoot toad), 395 nucleotides long. Lineage: Eukaryota; Metazoa; Chordata; Amphibia; Anura; Pelobatidae. The record is from the annotation of a GenBank genome assembly.
UGUAGGUGGAAGCAGCGGUGGAGGAGGAGGAUGAGGGAGCCAACACUGUAUUUUAUGGGGGGUUUUUUUGUUUUGUUUUUUUGAUAGCCAACAAAAUAUUGGGACAUACAAAUAAAGAAACAUUUGCAACCUGCGGUGCAUAAAAAAAGACAACUCUAUUCCGCAGAGUAGAUGUUGACAUUAUAGUUGCACAGGAACUUUGUUGAUUCUAGAGAACCUUGGGCAAAUCGCACAUCCCCGUGGUGGCGACUUUGUAUGUGGAUGUGGAUGUCAUCCAUAUCAACUUUCGAUGCCAGUUUCUGCGCCUACCAUGGUGACCAUGGGUUAGGGGGAAUCAGGAUUCCAUUUCAUACGGGGACCCUGAGAAACGGCUACCAAAUGCAAGGAAGGCAGCA